GACGAACGCUGGCGGCGUGCUUAACACAUGCAAGUCGAGCGGUAAGGCCCUUUCGGGGGUACACGAGCGGCGAACGGGUGAGUAACACGUGGGUGACCUGCCCUCAGCUCUGGGAUAAGCCUGGGAAACCGGGUCUAAUACUGGAUAUGACUCCAUGACGCAUGUUGUGGGGUGGGAAGCCUUGUGCGGCUGAGGAUGGGCCCGCGGCCUAUCAGCUUGUUGGUGGGGNGAUGGCCUACCAAGGCGACGACGGGUAGCCGGCCUGAGAGGGCGACCGGCCACACUGGGACUGAGACACGGCCCAGACUCCUACGGGAGGCAGCAGUGGGGAAUCUUGCGCAAUGGGCGAAAGCCUGACGCAGCGACGCCGCGUGAGGGAUGACGGCCUCGGUGUAAC
RNAcentral lists this ribosomal RNA (397 nucleotides) under uncultured bacterium. RNAcentral's name for it is "bacterial SSU rRNA". It matches the Rfam family "Bacterial small subunit ribosomal RNA", at positions 28 to 429 of the family's 1533-position model. The record is from RNAcentral.